This 492-nucleotide ribosomal RNA is filed under the name uncultured bacterium. RNAcentral's name for it is "partial 16S ribosomal RNA". It matches the Rfam family "Bacterial small subunit ribosomal RNA", at positions 29 to 507 of the family's 1533-position model. The record is from RNAcentral.
AGUGAACGCUGGCGGUAGGCCUAACACAUGCAAGUCGAACGGCAGCACAGUAAGAGCUUGCUCUUACGGGUGGCGAGUGGCGGACGGGUGAGGAAUACAUCGGAAUCUACUUUUUCGUGGGGGAUAACGUAGGGAAACUUACGCUAAUACCGCAUACGACCUACGGGUGAAAGCAGGGGAUCUUCGGACCUUGCGCGAUUGAAUGAGCCGAUGUCGGAUUAGCUAGUUGGCGGGGUAAAGGCCCACCAAGGCGACGAUCCGUAGCUGGUCUGAGAGGAUGAUCCGCCACACUGGAACUGAGACACGGCCCAGACUCCUACGGGAGGCAGCAGUGGGGAAUAUUGGACAAUGGGCGCAAGCCUGAUCCAGCCAUACCGCGUGGGUGAAGAAGGCCUUCGGGUUGUAAAGCCCUUUUGUUGUGAAAGAAAAGCAGCAGGUUAAUACCCCGCUGUUCUGACGGUACCCAAAGAAUAAGCACCGGCUAACUUCGUG